Molecule: ribosomal RNA, 1201 nt
Filed under: Monodactylus argenteus (silver moony)
Lineage: Eukaryota; Metazoa; Chordata; Actinopteri; Monodactylidae
Description: partial 16S ribosomal RNA
Rfam family: Bacterial large subunit ribosomal RNA
Source: RNAcentral
CAGAGAUUUUAGCUCGUACCUUUUGCAUCAUGAUUUAGCCAGAAAAAGCCAAGCAAAGAGCACUUUAGUUUGACUUCCCGAAACUAAGUGAGCUACUCCAAGACAGCCUAUUAAUAGGGCGAACCCGUCUCUGUGGCAAAAGAGUGGGAAGAACUUUGAGUAGAGGUGACAGACCUACCGAACUUAGUUAUAGCUGGUUGCCUGAGAAUUGGAUAGAAGUUCAGCCUCCCAGCUUCUUUUUAAACUGAGAGAGUUAAUCAAAGGGGGUACAGCCCCUUUGAUAUAAGACACAACUUUUCCAGGAGGAUAAAGAUCAUAAUUAAACUAAAGGUAAAAUGUUCUGGUGGGCCUAAAAGCAGCCAUCCCUACAGAAAGCGUUAAAGCUCAGACAUACUAUCCUGAUAACUCAAUCUUAUUCCCCUAAUCCUACCAGGCCGCCCCAUGCAAACAUGGGAGUGACCAUGCUAAUAUGAGUAAUAAGAGAGAGCUCUCUCCCUGCACACCUAUACAUCGGAACGGACCACCCACCGAAUAUUAACGGCCCCAAACAAAGAGGGUAAUGAACAACAACCAGAAAAACAUCCACCGUUAAACCCACACUGGAGUGCUCUCAGGGAAAGACUAAAAGAAAGAGAAGGAACUCGGCAAACAAGCCUCGCCUGUUUACCAAAAACAUCGCCUCUUGCAUGAAUAAGAGGUCCCGCCUGCCCUGUGACUAUAAGUUUAACGGCCGCGGUAUUUUGACCGUGCGAAGGUAGCGCAAUCACUUGUCUUUUAAAUGAAGACCUGUAUGAAUGGCAUAACGAGGGCUUAGCUGUCUCCUCUUUCAAGUCAAUGAAAUUGAUCCCCCCGUGCAGAAGCGGGGAUAAUAGCAUAAGACGAGAAGACCCUAUGGAGCUUUAGACACCAAGGUAGAUCAUGUUAAACACCCCCAAUCAAGGGGCCAAACCAGAUGAACCCUACCCUAAUGUCUUUGGUUGGGGCGACCGCGGGGAAAUACAAAACCCCCAUGUGGACUGGGAACACUCCUACAACUGAGAGCUCCCGCUCUAAUAAACAGAAUUUCUGACCAACAAGAUCCGGCAAAGCCGAUCAACGGACCGAGUUACCCUAGGGAUAACAGCGCAAUCCCCUUUUAGAGCCCAUAUCGACAAGGGGGUUUACGACCUCGAUGUUGGAUCAGGACAUCCUAAUGGUGCAG